GCUGACACAUUCCAGCCAAUCAGCAGCAUACCCUCCCUCCCAGACCCUCCCACCUCCUGGACAGCAUCCAUUUUGAAGCUGCAUUCUUAGUGAGCUGUCCAGGAGGUGGGAGGGUCUGGGAGGGAGGGUCUGCUGCUGAUUGGCUGGAAUGUGUCAG
Pelobates cultripes (western spadefoot toad) is the source of this 157-nucleotide non-coding RNA. The record is from the annotation of a GenBank genome assembly. Lineage: Eukaryota; Metazoa; Chordata; Amphibia; Anura; Pelobatidae.